RNAcentral lists this ribosomal RNA (388 nucleotides) under uncultured bacterium. RNAcentral's name for it is "bacterial SSU rRNA". It matches the Rfam family "Bacterial small subunit ribosomal RNA", at positions 28 to 417 of the family's 1533-position model. The record is from RNAcentral.
GACGAACGCUGGCGGCGUGCUUAACACAUGCAAGUCGAGCGGUAAGGCCCCUUCGGGGGUACACGAGCGGCGAACGGGUGAGUAACACGUGGGUGACCUGCCCUCAGCUCUGGGAUAAGCCUGGGAAACUGGGUCUAAUACCGGAUAUGACUCCAUGACGCAUGUCGUGGGGUGGAAAGCCUUGUGCGGCUGGGGAUGGGCCCGCGGCCUAUCAGCUUGUUGGCGGGGUGANGGCCUACCAAGGCGACGACGGGUAGCCGGCCUGAGAGGGCGACCGGCCACACUGGGACUGAGACACGGCCCAGACUCCUACGGGAGGCAGCAGUGGGGAAUCUUGCGCAAUGGGCGAAAGCCUGACGCAGCGACGCCGCGUGAGGGAUGACGGCCU